UUUUGCUCUCGCGUGAAGAGAGGCCCAAGUGAGAUUAGCUAGUUGGUGAGGUAAAGGCUCACCAAGGCGACGAUCUCUAGCUGUUCUGAGAGGAAGAUCAGCCACACUGGGACUGAGACACGGCCCAGACUCCUACGGGAGGCAGCAGUGGGGAAUAUUGCACAAUGGGGGAAACCCUGAUGCAGCCAUGCCGCGUGUGUGAAGAAGGCCUUCGGGUUGUAAAGCACUUUCAGUUGUGAGGAAAGGUUGGUAGUUAAUACCUGCCAGCUGUGACGUUAACAACAGAAGAAGCACCGGCUAACUCCGUGCCAGCAGCCGCGGUAAUACGGAGGGUGCGAGCGUUAAUCGGAAUUACUGGGCGUAAAGCGCACGCAGGCGGUUUGUUAAGCUAGAUGUGAAAGCCCCGGGCUCAACCUGGGAUGGUCAUUUAGAACUGGCAGACUAGAGUCUUGGAGAGGGGAGUGGAAUUCCAGGUGUAGCGGUGAAAUGCGUAGAGAUCUGGAGGAACAUCAGUGGCGAAGGCGACUCCCUGGCCAAAGACUGACGCUCAUGUGCGAAAGUGUGGGUAGCGAACAGGAUUAGAUACCCUGGUAGUCCACACCGUAAACGCUGUCUACUACCUGUGUGUGUAUUUUAUACGUGCGUAGCGAAGCUAACGCGCUAAGUAGACCGCCUGGGGAGUACGGCCGCAAGGUUAAAACUCAAAUGAAUUGACGGGGGCCCGCACAAGCGGUGGAGCAUGUGGUUUAAUUCGAUGCAACGCGAAGAACCUUACCUACACUUGACAUGCAGAGAACUUUCUAGAGAUAGAUUGGUGCCUUCGGGAACUCUGACACAGGUGCUGCAUGGCUGUCGUCAGCUCGUGUCGUGAGAUGUUGGGUUAAGUCCCGCAACGAGCACAACCCUUGUCCUUAGUUGCCAGCAUUAAGUUGGGCACUCUAAGGAGACUGCCGGUGACAAACCGGAGGAAGGCGGGGACGACGUCAAGUCAUCAUGGCCCUUACGUGUAGGGCUACACACGUGCUACAAUGGCAAGUACAGAGGGAAGCGAGACAGUGAUGUGGAGCGGACCCCUUAAAGCUUGUCGUAGUCCGGAUUGGAGUCUGCAACUCGACUUCAUGAAGUCGGAAUCGCUAGUAAUCGCAGGUCAGCAUACUGCGA
RNAcentral lists this ribosomal RNA (1161 nucleotides) under uncultured bacterium. RNAcentral describes it as "bacterial SSU rRNA". It matches the Rfam family "Bacterial small subunit ribosomal RNA", at positions 209 to 1362 of the family's 1533-position model. The record is from RNAcentral.